AGCGAACGCUGGCGGCAUGCUUAACACAUGCAAGUCGCACGGGCAGGGGAAACCCUGUCAGUGGCGGACGGGUGAGUAACGCGUAGGUAUCUGUCUCCGGGUGGGGGAUAACCGUGGGAAACUACGGCUAAUACCGCAUGACACCUGAGGGUCAAAGGCGCAAGUCGCCUGGAGAGGAGCCUGCGUCCGAUUAGCUAGUUGGCGGGGUAAAGGCCCACCAAGGCUCCGAUCGGUAGCUGGUCUGAGAGGAUGAUCAGCCACACUGGGACUGAGACAC
Molecule: ribosomal RNA, 277 nt
Filed under: uncultured bacterium
Lineage: Bacteria
Description: partial 16S ribosomal RNA
Rfam family: Bacterial small subunit ribosomal RNA
Source: RNAcentral